GACGAACGCUGGCGGCGUGCUUAACACAUGCAAGUCGAACGGACAGGCCCUGCUUUUGCGGGGUGCUCGAGUGGCGAACGGGUGAGUAACACGUGAGUAACCUGCCCUUGACUUUGGGAUAACUUCAGGAAACUGGGGCUAUUACCGGAUAGGAGCUCCUGCUGCAUGGUGGGGGUUGGAAAGUUUCGGCGGUUGGGGAUGGACUCGCGGCUUAUCAGCUUGUUGGUGGGGUAGUGGCUUACCAAGGCUUUGACGGGUAGCCGGCCUGAGAGGGUGACCGGCCACAUUGGGACUGAGAUACGGCCCAGACUCCUACGGGAGGCAGCAGUGGGGAAUAUUGCACAAUGGGCGGAAGCCUGAUGCAGCAACGCCGCGUGCGGGAUGACGGCCUUCGGGUUGUAAACCGCUUUCGCCUGUGACGAAGCGUGAGUGACGGUAAUGGGUAAAGAAGCACCGGCUAACUACGUG
Molecule: ribosomal RNA, 468 nt
Filed under: uncultured bacterium
Lineage: Bacteria
Description: partial 16S ribosomal RNA
Rfam family: Bacterial small subunit ribosomal RNA
Source: RNAcentral